RNAcentral lists this ribosomal RNA (455 nucleotides) under uncultured bacterium. RNAcentral's name for it is "bacterial SSU rRNA". It matches the Rfam family "Bacterial small subunit ribosomal RNA", at positions 8 to 507 of the family's 1533-position model. The record is from RNAcentral.
AGAGUUUGAUCAUGGCUCGAGAACGAACGCUGGCGGCAGGCUUAACACAUGCAAGUCGAACGGGCGUAGCAAUACGUCAGUGGCAGACGGGUGAGUAACACGUGGGAACCUUCCUAGGGGUACGGAACAACUCAGGGAAACUUGAGCUAAUACCGUAUACGUCCGUGAGGAGAAAGAUUUAUCGCCCUUAGACGGGCCCGCGUCGGAUUAGCUAGUUGUGGGGUAACGGCCUACCAAGGCGACGAUCCGUAGCUGAUCUGAGAGGAUGAUCAGCCACACUGGGACUGAGACACGGCCCAGACUCCUACGGGAGGCAGCAGUGGGGAAUCUUGGACAAUGGGCGCAAGCCUGAUCCAGCCAUGCCGCGUGAGUGAAGAAGGCCUUCGGGUUGUAAAGCUCUUUUGUCAGGGACGAUAAUGACGGUACCUGAAGAAUAAGCCCCGGCAAACUUCGUG